GCAGCUGUACAGGUAAUGUUGAUCUGAUGGACAGAGUGAGCUUAUGUCUACACAAACAUUUGAUCACUAUAAACAAAUCAUCUGUGUGGUUGUUCAGUAAAGAAUUGUCGAACCCUCAUAUGUUGUCUAAUAAUGGGAGAGUCCAAUAUAUAUGUGUAUACACACACGCACACGUGCACACACACACA
Long non-coding RNA from Octopus sinensis (East Asian common octopus), 188 nucleotides. RefSeq lists it as uncharacterized. The record is from RefSeq and is a predicted model, not a curated record. NCBI's taxonomy places the organism in Eukaryota, Metazoa, Mollusca, Cephalopoda, Octopoda, Octopodidae. The transcript is spliced from 3 exons.